RNAcentral lists this ribosomal RNA (253 nucleotides) under uncultured bacterium. RNAcentral's name for it is "partial 16S ribosomal RNA". It matches the Rfam family "Bacterial small subunit ribosomal RNA", at positions 524 to 776 of the family's 1533-position model. The record is from RNAcentral.
GACAGAGGGGGCAAGCGUUGCUCGGAAUUACUGGGCGUAAAGGGUGCGUAGGCGGCGCGGUAAGUCGGGUGUGAAAUCUUGGAGCUUAACUCCGAAACUGCAUUCGAUACUGCCGUGCUUGAGGACUGGAGAGGAGACUGGAAUUUACGGUGUAGCGGUGAAAUGCGUAGAUAUCGUAAGGAAGACCAGUGGCGAAGGCGGGUCUCUGGACAGUUCCUGACGCUGAAGCACGAAGGCCAGGGGAGCAAACGGG